Molecule: ribosomal RNA, 556 nt
Filed under: Colletotrichum gloeosporioides
Lineage: Eukaryota; Fungi; Ascomycota; Sordariomycetes; Glomerellales; Glomerellaceae
Description: eukaryotic LSU rRNA
Rfam family: 5.8S ribosomal RNA (bases 186-339)
Source: RNAcentral
CUAUUUUAAUUACUUAUGAGUUUCGCUCUACACCCUUUGUGAACAUACCUAUUACUGUUGCUUCAGCGGGUAAGGUCUCCGUGACCCUCCCGGCCUCCCGCCCCCGGGCGGGUCGGCGCCCGCCGGAGGAUAAACAAACUCUGAUUUAACGACGUUUCUUCUGAGUGGUACAAGCAAAUAAUCAAAACUUUUAACAACGGAUCUCUUGGUUCUGGCAUCGAUGAAGAACGCAGCGAAAUGCGAUAAGUAAUGUGAAUUGCAAAAUUCAGUGAAUCAUCAAAUCUUUGAACGCACAUUGCGCCCGCCAGCAUUCUGGCGGGCAUGCCUGUUCAAGCGUCAUUUCAACCCUCAAGCUCUGCUUGGUGUUGGGGCCCUACAGCUGAUGUAGGCCCUCAAAGGUAGUGGCGGACCCUCCCGGAGCCUCCUUUGCGUAGUAACUUUACAUCUCGCACUAGAGAUCCAGAAGAACUCUUGCCAUAAAACCCCCAAUUUUCCAAAGGUUGACCUCGGAUCAAUAGAAUACCCGCUGAACUUAAGCAUAUCAAUAAACAGAGGA